Molecule: ribosomal RNA, 238 nt
Filed under: uncultured bacterium
Lineage: Bacteria
Also listed under: 1 other name
Description: partial 16S ribosomal RNA
Rfam family: Bacterial small subunit ribosomal RNA
Source: RNAcentral
CACGCCGUAAACGAUGGAUACUAGCUGUUGGGUGCAAACUCAGUGGCUAAGCGAAAGUGAUAAGUAUCCCACCUGGGGAGUACGUUCGCAAGAAUGAAACUCAAAGGAAUUGACGGGGGCCCGCACAAGCGGUGGAGCAUGUGGUUUAAUUCGAUGAUACGCGAGGAACCUUACCAAGGCUUAAAUGUAGAUUGACCGGUUUGGAAACAGACUUUUCGCAAGACAAUUUACAAGGUGC